Long non-coding RNA from Gasterosteus aculeatus aculeatus (three-spined stickleback), 1521 nucleotides. NCBI's taxonomy places the organism in Eukaryota, Metazoa, Chordata, Actinopteri, Perciformes, Gasterosteidae. The record is from Ensembl.
AUGGUAUACUCUUCUCCACUUUGCCGCCCAAUCUAAAUACGGUACACUUUAACAUAGUUCUGAGGCUCGAUUCUUCACAACGGAUUGCCUGUGAUUCCCUUCUCUGCUCACCUUCUUCAAGGGAGGAAGGAAAUUCUGCUGAGGUUAAGACUUUGUCACAGAGCAGUUUAGACACUGAGCGAGACCGCUUGGGCUGUAGAGACAACUGAGCAGAAUAAGAUGCCCCCUCAAAGACAUAGUAACACUACAGAGAAUACAGGAGUGGACACCUACUGACAUGAGUGGGUCUGUGAAUGAUGACCUCGCCUUUCACCCGAUCUGCCAAAACUUUGAUAGAAAAUAUGAAUUGGAAUUACCUGCAGCGCCAAGUUUCAUGAAUGUUUAAAUCCCAAAGCAUUCAUGGCACAUUCAACCGAUUUUGUUUAUGUCACUUGUUCUGAUCCGGCAAUUCUUAAAAUCAGGCUGGUAAUAUUACCAAAUGUGGUAUUAUACUCAAGCGUAAAAUGCUGCAGUAUGCAGCUAUAAGUAUUAAAGUUCCCGCUGUUGGGGAUGACUGAUGAGAUUUGAUCCAGAUAGAUCAUUUCGAAGCUUUGUUAACACUUGUACCAUUGUAAAAUUUCAGUUUUUCACAUUGGGCUCUACACAGAUACUAUUUGAUGUUAUAUUAACUUAUGGAUGAUGCAUCUGUAGAUUUUUUAAAAAGCUCUAUAUUUCUUCAUGUUUUUUCUUGGAUGAUUGUAUUUUGUGGUUGCCGAAGCUCUUAAAUGCCCCUUGUCUUUAUGUAUGUAUACUGUAUCCCCACUAGAGAGCAGUGUUUGCCUUUGUAACUUUUGCACCUGCCCUUAUUUGAAAAGUAAGCACCAGAAGGCCCAUAGGCAGCCCGCUGGAAACAUUAUCAUGAGUACACAGAACAUAACGCUGCUCUCAGUGCCAGUUGCCUGACACCCAAUGCCAAGUAAAUAUCUUAUCCGCCACACAUUGCUGCCAUUAUUUUCCUUUCACCCACCUCUACAGCAGCGUCGAGAAGACCCAGAGUGCCCCUCAAAGUUCGACAGUCCCCGGCGAUAAGCCAUCAUGGCCCUACUCCUAGAAUAACUCCAAAUGUGACCCACCCCUGCCAUCAUUCCAAAACUUAGUUUGUCAUGCCAUUACGUUAGUGUCAUCCUCGGCUGGCCAGGGGACUUUGGCAGCGAUGACAUCACUCCGUACAAAUAGCUGCGGUGUCAACCAGUGUUCCUCCACUCUGACGCCAGAGGCCAAAAAAGACGUUAUCAAAGACUGCCUUUGUUGGUCAUAUUGCACAUUUUAAUCAUUGCCAUUUCUGAGCUGAUACAGUAUGUGUGGUAAUCCAAAGUUUGGACAAAAAAAAAAUGUUAUUAUCGCCUGAGAAUCAUUGGUACUGUUUUGACUUGCCCUGUUAAACAUUUAGCCCACUGUCUGAAUAGAUUAUUCACAGAUUGUUCGUAUUUGAAUAUUGAUUCAGUAACCAAGAGCUUUGGUGGAGACCUCUAUGUAAAGUAC